RNAcentral lists this ribosomal RNA (411 nucleotides) under Vreelandella aquamarina. RNAcentral's name for it is "bacterial SSU rRNA". It matches the Rfam family "Bacterial small subunit ribosomal RNA", at positions 75 to 486 of the family's 1533-position model. Lineage: Bacteria; Pseudomonadati; Pseudomonadota; Gammaproteobacteria; Oceanospirillales; Halomonadaceae. The record is from RNAcentral.
CCAGCUUGCUGGAUGCUGACGAGCGGCGGACGGGUGAGUAAUGCAUAGGAAUCUGCCCGAUAGUGGGGGAUAACCUGGGGAAACCCAGGCUAAUACCGCAUACGUCCUACGGGAGAAAGGGGGCUCCGGCUCCCGCUAUGGGAUGAGCCUAUGUCGGAUUAGCUAGUUGGUGAGGUAACGGCUCACCAAGGCGACGAUCCGUAGCUGGUCUGAGAGGAUGAUCAGCCACAUCGGGACUGAGACACGGCCCGAACUCCUACGGGAGGCAGCAGUGGGGAAUAUUGGACAAUGGGGGAAACCCUGAUCCAGCCAUGCCGCGUGUGUGAAGAAGGCCCUCGGGUUGUAAAGCACUUUCAGCGAGGAAGAACGCCUAGCGGUUAAUACCCGCUAGGAAAGACAUCACUCGCAGAA